This 251-nucleotide ribosomal RNA is filed under the name Salmonella enterica subsp. enterica serovar Typhimurium. RNAcentral's name for it is "partial 16S ribosomal RNA". It matches the Rfam family "Bacterial small subunit ribosomal RNA", at positions 338 to 581 of the family's 1533-position model. Lineage: Bacteria; Pseudomonadati; Pseudomonadota; Gammaproteobacteria; Enterobacterales; Enterobacteriaceae. The record is from RNAcentral.
CCUACGGGAGGCAGCAGUGGGGAAUUUUGGACAAUGGGCGAAAGCCUGAUCCAGCAAUGCCGCGUGCAGGAUGAAGGCCUUCGGGUUGUAAACUGCUUUUGUACGGAACGAAAAAGCUCCUUCUAAUACAGGGGGCCCAUGACGGUACCGUAAGAAUAAGCACCGGCUAACUACGUGCCAGCAGCCGCGGUAAUACGUAGGGUGCGAGCGUUAAUCGGAAUUACUGGGCGUAAAGCGUGCGCAGGCGGUUA